Molecule: long non-coding RNA, 303 nt
Organism: Ipomoea nil (Japanese morning glory)
Lineage: Eukaryota; Viridiplantae; Streptophyta; Magnoliopsida; Solanales; Convolvulaceae
Exons: 4
Source: RefSeq, a predicted model, not a curated record
CACGAAAAAUGUCUCUAAGAGCAGCAGCUCAGAAGCAACUGUGUCUGAAGAAUCUGAGCAGACUUCUGAGGUGAAAGAUAACUCUGAGCAUGAAGCAAGCUGUUAGAUUUGAAGAUCUGAAGGACCAAUUAAGAAAGCGUUUAUUCAAGAAGCACAAAGUUAGAAGAAUUCAGUUUGUAAUUACAAAUGGGGGUUUAUCUAUAGAAUUGAAUACAUAUGCUUUAAUCCGUCCAACCAAUCCAGGGACUAUUACUUGGCUUGAUUCUGUCUCUAACCUUCCUAUAAAGGUAAUCAAUCUUAAUG